GAUCAUGGCUCAGAUUGAACGCUGGCGGCAUGCCUUACACAUGCAAGUCGAACGGUAACAGGUCUUCGGAUGCUGACGAGUGGCGAACGGGUGAGUAAUACAUCGGAACGUGCCCGAUCGGUGGGGGAUAACGGAGCGAAAGCUUUGCUAAUACCGCAUACGAUCUACGGAUGAAAGGCGGGGGAUCUUCGGACCUCGCGCGGACGGAGCGGCCGAUGGCAGAUUAGGUAGUUGGUGGGAAUAAAAGCUUACCAAGCCGACGAUCUGUAGCUGGUCUGAGAGGAUGAUCAGCCACACUGGGACUGAGACACCGGCCCAGACUCCUACGGGGAGGCAGCAGGUGGGGUAAUUUUGGACAAUGGGGGCAACCCUGAUCCAGCCAUGCCGCGUGCAGGAUGAAGGCCUUCGGGUUGUAAACUGCUUUUGUACGGAACGAAAAGACUCUGGUUAAUACCUGGGGUCCAUGACGGUACCGUAAGAAUAAGCACCGGCUAACUCCGUG
This 502-nucleotide ribosomal RNA is filed under the name uncultured bacterium. Its description in RNAcentral is "bacterial SSU rRNA". It matches the Rfam family "Bacterial small subunit ribosomal RNA", at positions 15 to 507 of the family's 1533-position model. The record is from RNAcentral.